RNAcentral lists this ribosomal RNA (119 nucleotides) under Pteropus alecto (black flying fox). The record is from RNAcentral. Lineage: Eukaryota; Metazoa; Chordata; Mammalia; Chiroptera; Pteropodidae.
GUCUAUGGCCAUGCCACCCUGAAUAUGCCCGAUCUCAUCUGAUCUCGGAAGCUAAGCAGGGUCGGACCUGGUUAGUACUUGGAUGGGAGACACCCUAGGAAUACCAGGUGCUGUAGGCA